Molecule: long non-coding RNA, 909 nt
Filed under: Vigna radiata
Lineage: Eukaryota; Viridiplantae; Streptophyta; Magnoliopsida; Fabales; Fabaceae
Description: long non-coding RNA (VRAD_LNC018198)
Source: RNAcentral
AACCAUCAUCUUCGUGUCUCGAACCCUAGGAGUCCCUGCCUCCAAUCGUGGCCCCCUGUCCCUGUGUGGUACCCGUGUUCUCCGUCAACGAACCCUCGAUUCACAGUGGAGCCCUAGGACUCCUAUUCUCGUACUCUGAGGUCAAUGCCACCUUCUUUCGGUCUCGGUGAGUCUGUGGUGAGUCCUUAAUGUUCUUCCUUUAAUGUAUAACUUUCUUCAGUUGAUGUGUAGUCAUUUAAUGUUGCGGUGAUUCACUGAGAAGAGAAGUUUGGUUGUCUAGCCAUCUCUUAGUGUUCGUUGUUGUAGAUUUAGCCAUCUCUCAGUGUUCCUUGUUGUAGAUUUGGUCAGAAGAAGAAGUUUGGUUGUCUAACCUCCACCGUACACCUCUCCCGCGUUGGCUUUCCCCUGAAACCCUACCCUAAAAUUGAAAAAUCGGAAAAUCCUAAUGUGUUUGAAUGAGGGAUUGAAUGUGAAAUGGCUUCGAAGUUGAAAACGUGUUUCAUUCAAUUACUAAGAAACUCCAAGAACUUGUUAUCCAAACGAAAGAAUUGAAGCUUGAUUGAGGGAAUUUGAAUAGGUUUGCUAAGAAGGGAGCCUUAAUGUAUUUGAAUAUCAAUCACGAUAAACAUAUAUGGCCUACAAAGAACAGAGUGAACAUGAGGUUAUUUCUCACUAACAAGUCUGGUGUAUUCAUGGAAAUUAACCUGAGCUUUUUAUAUGCCUUGCUGAUUUCAAUAUUUAGAUCUGUGGUAUUGAUGUUUCACACUUUUGCCCCUUUCAGGAAAAACAAUCGCUUGAGAUUUGGCAGCUGCUAUUGCCUAUUGUGUAUGGUUUUUUAGAAAUUGUGGUGCUAUCUCAAACAUAUGUUCGUACUCUUACUGGUGUAGCUCUUCGUGUUAUUCGUGAUCC